UACGUAGGGACCGAGCGUUGUCCGGAUUCAUUGGGCGUAAAGAGCUCGUAGGCGGCUGCUCAAGUCGAAUGUGAAACCUCGAGGCUUAACCUCGAGCCUGCAUUCGAUACUGGGCGGCUAGAGUCUGGUAGGGGGAUCUGGAAUUCCUGGUGUAGCGGUGGAAUGCGCAGAUAUCAGGAGGAACACCGGUGGCGAAGGCGGGAUCCUGGGCCAGUACUGACACUGAGGAGCGAAAGCAUGGGGAUCAAACAGG
RNAcentral lists this ribosomal RNA (253 nucleotides) under uncultured bacterium. RNAcentral's name for it is "partial 16S ribosomal RNA". It matches the Rfam family "Bacterial small subunit ribosomal RNA", at positions 524 to 776 of the family's 1533-position model. The record is from RNAcentral.